Non-coding RNA from Stegodyphus mimosarum, 74 nucleotides. The record is from Rfam. NCBI's taxonomy places the organism in Eukaryota, Metazoa, Arthropoda, Arachnida, Araneae, Eresidae.
GCCUUCGUAGUGUAGUGGUCAGCACGCUCAGCGCGUAAUUCGAGAGGUCCGUGGUUCGAGUCCCGGCGAGCGCA